UAAGGGCGCACGGUGGAUGCCUUGGCACUAGAAGCCGAUGAAGGACGUUACUAACGACGAUAUGCUUUGGGGAGCUGUAAGUAAGCUUUGAUCCAGAGAUUUCCGAAUGGGGAAACCCAGCAUGAGUUAUGUCAUGUUAUCGAUAUGUGAAUACAUAGCAUAUCAGAAGGCACACCCGGAGAACUGAAACAUCUUAGUACCCGGAGGAAGAGAAAGAAAAUUCGAUUCCCUUAGUAGCGGCGAGCGAAACGGGAAGAGCCCAAACCAACAAGCUUGCUUGUUGGGGUUGUAGGACACUCUAUACGGAGUUACAAAGGACGACAUUAGACGAAUCAUCUGGA
RNAcentral lists this ribosomal RNA (341 nucleotides) under Staphylococcus aureus. RNAcentral describes it as "partial 23S ribosomal RNA". It matches the Rfam family "Bacterial large subunit ribosomal RNA", at positions 12 to 346 of the family's 2925-position model. Lineage: Bacteria; Bacillati; Bacillota; Bacilli; Caryophanales; Staphylococcaceae. The record is from RNAcentral.